Molecule: non-coding RNA, 22 nt
Filed under: Arabidopsis thaliana (thale cress)
Lineage: Eukaryota; Viridiplantae; Streptophyta; Magnoliopsida; Brassicales; Brassicaceae
Source: RNAcentral
AACUUCGAGGUUCUUAUUGCGU